RNAcentral lists this long non-coding RNA (225 nucleotides) under Elaeis guineensis (African oil palm). RNAcentral describes it as "long non-coding RNA (EGUI_LNC024764)". The record is from RNAcentral. Lineage: Eukaryota; Viridiplantae; Streptophyta; Magnoliopsida; Arecales; Arecaceae.
UUUUUUUCUUUCUUUUACUUUUUCUUCUUUUUCUUUUUCUUUUCUUUUCUUUUUCUUCUUCUUCUCUUUUCUCUUCUUCUUUCUUUUCCUAGUCAAAUAAAGGAGGGACAUGAAGGGGGGCUUGGUGGCUUGUGCUCCGACAAGAUGCAAUGGCACGGUCGGAGAUUCGACAGUGGCGGUCGACGGCAAUGGGGCAAAAGAAGGCCAGCGGUGAGGUUCGGCUGA